This 77-nucleotide transfer RNA is filed under the name Pseudomonadales bacterium. RNAcentral describes it as "tRNA-Trp". It matches the Rfam family "tRNA". Rfam says of the family: Transfer RNA (tRNA) molecules are approximately 80 nucleotides in length. Their secondary structure includes four short double-helical elements and three loops (D, anti-codon, and T loops). Further hydrogen bonds mediate the characteristic L-shaped molecular structure. tRNAs have two regions of fundamental functional importance: the anti-codon, which is responsible for specific mRNA codon recognition, and the 3' end, to which the tRNAs corresponding amino acid is attached (by aminoacyl-tRNA synthetases). tRNAs cope with the degeneracy of the genetic code in two manners: having more than one tRNA (with a specific anti-codon) for a particular amino acid; and 'wobble' base-pairing, i.e. permitting non-standard base-pairing at the 3rd anti-codon position. Lineage: Bacteria; Pseudomonadati; Pseudomonadota; Gammaproteobacteria; Pseudomonadales. RNAcentral also lists the same sequence under 1 other name. The record is from RNAcentral.
GGGUCAUUAGUUCCAAUUGGCAGAACGGCGGGCUCCAAAUCCGCGCGUUGGAGGUUCGAGUCCUUCAUGGCCCGCCA